This 1090-nucleotide ribosomal RNA is filed under the name Sphingobacterium mizutaii. RNAcentral's name for it is "bacterial LSU rRNA". It matches the Rfam family "Bacterial large subunit ribosomal RNA", at positions 315 to 1406 of the family's 2925-position model. Lineage: Bacteria; Pseudomonadati; Bacteroidota; Sphingobacteriia; Sphingobacteriales; Sphingobacteriaceae. The record is from RNAcentral.
UUGUACUGUGCUAUGAACUGGAAGCAGGUGGGAAACUGCGCGAUAAGGGUGAGAGCCCCGUACAGGCAAAGAAUACAGGCAUAGUGGUAUCCUGAGUACCGCGGGACCGGAGAAAUCCUGUGGGAAUCCGCCAGCACCAUCUGGCAAGGCUAAAUACUCCUGAGAGACCGAUAGUGGACCAGUACCGUGAGGGAAAGGUGAAAAGAACCCCGAACAGGGGAGUGAAAAGAACCUGAAACCGUGUGCUUACAAGCGGUCGGAGCGGAGCGAUUCCGUGACGGCGUGCCUUUUGCAUAAUGAGCCUACGAGUUACUCUUGUCCGGCAAGGUUAAUGGCUUAAGGCCAGGAGCCGAAGCGAAAGCGAGUCUGAACAGGGCGCACAGUCGGACGAGGUAGACGCGAAACCUUGUGAUCUACCCUUGGGCAGGUUGAAGGUGCGGUAACACGUACUGGAGGACCGAACCGAUAAACGUUGAAAAGUUUCCGGAUGACCUGAGGGUAGGGGUGAAAGGCCAAUCAAACUGGGAAAUAGCUCGUACUCCCCGAAAUGUUUUUAGGAACAGCGUCGGCAUGGAGUCUAGCAGAGGUAGAGCUACCGAUUGGGUGCGGGGGAGUCAAAUCCUACCAAAUCCAGACGAACUCCGAAUGCUGCUAGAUAUGGCCGGCAGUGAGGCUUUGGGUGCUAAGGUCCAAGGCCGAGAGGGAAAGAACCCAGACCAUCAGCUAAGGUCCCCAAAUCCGUUCUAAGUUGAACUAACGAGGUCCGGUUGCCCAGACAGCUAGGAUGUUGGCUUGGAAGCAGCCAUUCAUUUAAAGAGUGCGUAACAGCUCACUAGUCGAGCGGCCGGGCGUGGAUAAUAAACGGGCAUCAAGAACGGUACCGAAGCUAUGGAUUGCAAUUUAUUGCACUGGUAGGGGAGCAUUCCAUCGGGGGCGAAUCCGCGGGGCGACCCGUGGUGGACCUGAUGGAAAAGCAAAUGUAGGCAUAAGUAACGAUAAGGCGGGUGAGAAACCCGCCCACCGAAAGACCAAGGUUUCCUGAUCAACGCUAAUCGGAUCAGGGUCAGUCGGGACCUAAGGCGCAUCCGAA